Solenopsis invicta (red fire ant) is the source of this 1024-nucleotide RNA transcript. It is a transcript of the gene named adipocyte plasma membrane-associated protein, with no coding region annotated. The record is from RefSeq and is a predicted model, not a curated record. NCBI's taxonomy places the organism in Eukaryota, Metazoa, Arthropoda, Insecta, Hymenoptera, Formicidae. The transcript has 3 exons.
AUGCCCAUAUGCCAUUCGGGCAAGGCCAACGAAAUUGCAUUGAAUGUUACAAUCAAACGAAGUACGGCGUCAAUGUUGUCGAUGGCGAGGAGGUACUCGGUCAAAGCUAGCUCUCGAAGGUGGCCCAUGCACAACUUUUACAACAUGCUGGACUUAGCUGGGAUCAAUUCCCUAUUGUACAAGAAGUGUACCUCCGCGAAAAUAACUAGAAGAAACUACCUAAGAGAACUUGGAGAAGAACUUAUCAUGGUUCAACAAAGAACCCGAAAUUUUUCAAAUGAUGUAGUUGACGGUCCAGAACAGGAAACGACUAGACGUCAUUGUCAACUACUGAAGUCAAUCGGCACCGCCGUUAUAUACAUCGGCCUAUUCCUGGCCGUGAUAACGUUCAUACCCAGUUUACCGCUGGAAUACAAGGAGUACAGCGCACCGACACCGCGCAAACUCGUUUUGAAGAAUCGGCUGAAUGAUGCCCAAAAGCUGUUUAAGGGUGAGGUCCAUGGCCCGGAAGACUUCGAGUCUUAUAACGGGCAGCUGUACAUAGGCAUGCACGGCGGUUAUAUCCUAAGGGUCGAGGAGAAUCGGUUGACACCAAUCGUCAAAUUUGGCAAAAAAUGCGAUGGAAUAUGGCAAGAGCAUAUAUGUGGCAGGCCUUUAGGAUUAAGAUUCGAUAAAAAAGGUAAUCUAUAUGUAAUAGAUACCUAUUACGGUAUUUUUAAAGUAAACGUUGCAACCGGAGAGUACGAAAAUGUAGUAAACGUUUCUAAACCGAUUGAGGGUAAAGUUUCGCGACUACCCAAUAGUAUCGAUGUUGCAAAAAAUGGAGACCUGUAUUGGACCGAAAGUAACACGGAUUUUGCACUUUACGACUUAAUGUUAACAUUUCUGUCAAAUCCAUCAGAAAGACUUGUUCCUCCAUUAUAACUCAGUGACAAAGCAAACAAAAGUACUGAUGAGAAGCCUAGCAUUUGCAAAUGGAGUUAUGUUAACACUAGAAGAACCGAGAAUUUGUUACCCCCUAUAA